CAGUCGCCGCGGGAAUACGGAGGGUGCAAGCGUUAAUCGGAAUUACUGGGCGUAAAGCGUGCGUAGGCGGUUCGUUAAGUCUGUUGUGAAAGCCCCGGGCUCAACCUGGGAAUGGCAAUGGAUACUGGCGAGCUAGAGUGUGUCAGAGGAUGGUGGAAUUCCCGGUGUAGCGGUGAAAUGCGUAGAGAUCGGGAGGAACAUCAGUGGCGAAGGCGGCCAUCUGGGACAACACUGACGCUGAGGCACGAAAGCGUGGGGAGCAAACAGGAUUAGAUACCCCGGUAGUCCCUGUCUCUUAUAC
Molecule: ribosomal RNA, 301 nt
Filed under: uncultured bacterium
Lineage: Bacteria
Description: partial 16S ribosomal RNA
Rfam family: Bacterial small subunit ribosomal RNA
Source: RNAcentral